This 1439-nucleotide ribosomal RNA is filed under the name uncultured organism. Its description in RNAcentral is "SSU rRNA". It matches the Rfam family "Bacterial small subunit ribosomal RNA". The record is from RNAcentral.
UGAACGCUAGCGACAGGCUUAACACAUGCAAGUCGAGGGGCAGCGGGGGUAGCGAUACCCGCCGGCGACCGGCGCACGGGUGAGUAACGCGUAUGCAACUUGCCUAUCAGAGGGGGAUAACCCGGCGAAAGUCGGACUAAUACCGCAUGAAGCAGGGGCCCCGCAUGGGGAUAUUUGCUAAAGAUUCAUCGCUGAUAGAUAGGCAUGCGUUCCAUUAGGCAGUUGGCGGGGUAACGGCCCACCAAACCGACGAUGGAUAGGGGUUCUGAGAGGAAGGUCCCCCACAUUGGUACUGAGACACGGACCAAACUCCUACGGGAGGCAGCAGUGAGGAAUAUUGGUCAAUGGCCGAGAGGCUGAACCAGCCAAGUCGCGUGAGGGAUGAAGGUUCUAUGGAUCGUAAACCUCUUUUAUAAGGGAAUAAAGUGCGGGACGUGUCCCGUUUUGUAUGUACCUUAUGAAUAAGGAUCGGCUAACUCCGUGCCAGCAGCCGCGGUAAUACGGAGGAUCCGAGCGUUAUCCGGAUUUAUUGGGUUUAAAGGGUGCGUAGGCGGCCUUUUAAGUCAGCGGUGAAAGUCUGUGGCUCAACCAUAGAAUUGCCGUUGAAACUGGGGGGCUUGAGUAUGUUUGAGGCAGGCGGAAUGCGUGGUGUAGCGGUGAAAUGCAUAGAUAUCACGCAGAACCCCGAUUGCGAAGGCAGCCUGCCAAGCCAUUACUGACGCUGAUGCACGAAAGCGUGGGGAUCAAACAGGAUUAGAUACCCUGGUAGUCCACGCAGUAAACGAUGAUCACUAGCUGUUUGCGAUACACUGUAAGCGGCACAGCGAAAGCGUUAAGUGAUCCACCUGGGGAGUACGCCGGCAACGGUGAAACUCAAAGGAAUUGACGGGGGCCCGCACAAGCGGAGGAACAUGUGGUUUAAUUCGAUGAUACGCGAGGAACCUUACCCGGGUUUGAACGCAUUCGGACCGAGGUGGAAACACCUUUUCUAGCAAUAGCCGUUUGCGAGGUGCUGCAUGGUUGUCGUCAGCUCGUGCCGUGAGGUGUCGGCUUAAGUGCCAUAACGAGCGCAACCCUUGCCACUAGUUACUAACAGGUAAAGCUGAGGACUCUGGUGGGACUGCCAGCGUAAGCUGCGAGGAAGGCGGGGAUGACGUCAAAUCAGCACGGCCCUUACAUCCGGGGCGACACACGUGUUACAAUGGCGUGGACAAAGGGAGGCCACCUGGCGACAGGGAGCGAAUCCCCAAACCACGUCUCAGUUCGGAUCGGAGUCUGCAACCCGACUCCGUGAAGCUGGAUUCGCUAGUAAUCGCGCAUCAGCCAUGGCGCGGUGAAUACGUUCCCGGGCCUUGUACACACCGCCCGUCAAGCCAUGGGAGCCGGGGGUACCAGAAGUCCGUAACCGAAAGGAUCGGCCUAGGGUAAAACUGGUGACU